This 490-nucleotide ribosomal RNA is filed under the name uncultured bacterium. Its description in RNAcentral is "partial 16S ribosomal RNA". It matches the Rfam family "Bacterial small subunit ribosomal RNA", at positions 30 to 507 of the family's 1533-position model. The record is from RNAcentral.
AUUGAACGCUGGCGGCAGGCCUAACACAUGCAAGUCGAACGGUAACAGGAAGCAGCUUGCUGCUUUGCUGACGAGUGGCGGACGGGUGAGUAAUGUCUGGGAAACUGCCUGAUGGAGGGGGUUAACUACUGGAAACGGUAGCUAAUACCGCAUAACGUCGCAAGACCAAAGAGGGGGACCUUCGGGCCUCUUGCCAUCGGAUGUGCCCAGAUGGGAUUAGCUAGUAGGUGGGGUAACGGCUCACCUAGGCGACGAUCCCUAGCUGGUCUGAGAGGAUGACCAGCCACACUGGAACUGAGACACGGUCCAGACUCCUACGGGAGGCAGCAGUAGGGAAUAUUGCACAAUGGGCGCAAGCCUGAUGCAGCCAUGCCGCGUGUAUGAAGAAGGCCUUCGGGUUGUAAAGUACUUUCAGCGGGGAGGAAGGGAGUAAAGUUAAUACCUUUGCUCAUUGACGUUACCCGCAGAAGAAGCACCGGCUAACUCCGUG